AACGGGGGAUCACUUGGCUCGUGCGUCGAGGAAGAAC
RNAcentral lists this ribosomal RNA (37 nucleotides) under Penaeus monodon (black tiger shrimp). RNAcentral describes it as "partial 5.8S ribosomal RNA". The record is from RNAcentral. Lineage: Eukaryota; Metazoa; Arthropoda; Malacostraca; Decapoda; Penaeidae.